AUUGAACGCUGGCGGCAGGCCUAACACAUGCAAGUCGAACGAGUGGCGGACGGGUGAGUAAUGUGUGGGAAACUGCCCGAUGGGGGGGGAUCACUACUGGAAACGGUCGCUAAUACCGCAAACCAUCGGAUGUGCCCAGAUGGGAUUAGCUAGUAGGUGGGGUAACGGCUCACCGAGGCGACGAUCCCUAGCUGGUCUGAGAGGAUGAACAGCCACACUGGAACUGAGACACGGCCCAGACUCCUACGGGAGGCAGCAGUGGGGAAUCUUGCACAAUGGGCGAAAGCCUGAUGCAGCCAUGCCGCGUGUAUGAAGAAGGCCUUCGGGUUGUAAAGUUCUUUCAGUGGGGAGGAGUUACCCGCAGAAGAAGCACCGGCUAACUCCGUGGCAGCCGCCGGGGUAAUUC
RNAcentral lists this ribosomal RNA (406 nucleotides) under uncultured bacterium. RNAcentral's name for it is "partial 16S ribosomal RNA". It matches the Rfam family "Bacterial small subunit ribosomal RNA", at positions 30 to 526 of the family's 1533-position model. The record is from RNAcentral.